This 399-nucleotide ribosomal RNA is filed under the name uncultured bacterium. RNAcentral's name for it is "bacterial SSU rRNA". It matches the Rfam family "Bacterial small subunit ribosomal RNA", at positions 356 to 772 of the family's 1533-position model. The record is from RNAcentral.
GGGGAAUAUUGGACAAUGGGCGCAAGCCUGAUCCAGCCAUGCCGCGUGAGUGAUGAAGGCCCUAGGGUUGUAAAGCUCUUUUAGCGGGGAAGAUAAUGACGGUACCCGCAGAAGAAGCCCCGGCUAACUUCGUGCCAGCAGCCGCGGUAAUACGAAGGGGGCUAGCGUUGCUCGGAAUCACUGGGCGUAAAGCGCACGUAGGCGGAUCUUUAAGUCAGGGGUGAAAUCCCGGAGCUCAACUCCGGAACUGCCUUUGAUACUGGGGAUCUUGAGUCCGGGAGAGGUGAGUGGAACUGCGAGUGUAGAGGUGAAAUUCGUAGAUAUUCGCAAGAACACCAGUGGCGAAGGCGGCUCACUGGCCCGGUACUGACGCUGAGGCACGAAAGCGUGAGUAGCGAA